RNAcentral lists this long non-coding RNA (306 nucleotides) under Hordeum vulgare. RNAcentral's name for it is "long non-coding RNA (HVUL_LNC011115)". Lineage: Eukaryota; Viridiplantae; Streptophyta; Magnoliopsida; Poales; Poaceae. The record is from RNAcentral.
ACACGCACACGCCUACGCCUAUGUACGCAACAUGCAUGCUUAUUCACGAACGACUGAUUUUAUCAUCACUAGAUCCACAGCGGCUGUUCCACGGCGGGGCAGUAUCGAACGUUGUGAAUGGUCGCCAAGUUGCACUGCCCCGGGGCGACGAGUAAUCUGACGAAGUCCCGUUGCAUCUCCCUGGGGCAUCCGGGCAGGUCCAUGAGGCCGCUCUGACCAACAUUGCCGGUGCUCGGGUCCACGGGCUGAGACGGUACCGGCAACGCCAUGAAGUAGCGCAGCGCCUCGCACCGGCACUGCUGGGGA